GUCAAGUCUUUAUAAUAAUAAAAAACACACGACAGAACAAAACUUAAAAAUUAUAACCCUAAACUGCAUACAUUAUUUGUACCUUACUGGCCCAUUUACAAUCUCCUGUAGUGUAUUAGAAGGAAAGUCGUUUGAUAACCCAUUCUUUCUUAAUUUUUUCAAAAAUAAUUUAGGCUUAACCAUGCCCAAACGAAAGUUCUGAGAUGCGUACACGACCAGGAAAUGUUGUACUUAAAUCUCUACUAUCUCUAAAUCUCUAAAAAGAGGAAAAAAAUUCUAAAGACGAUGUCAGCCGCAAUUCCGAAGUUUUAACAGCCGAAAAAAUGAGGUUAUGGGGUUUAACAAAUCUGCACAAAGUUAUAUAUGUUACCAGGAUCAACAAGAUUUCAAUAUGAUAAGCACAAUAAUAGCAAAAGAAAACUAUGCUACAUAGUAGCAAAAUAUUAACAGAGAUGAGCAUCCACAAACUGAACAUUUCGGAUUUUACCAUUAAAUACUGAUCUGACUCUAAAUCUAAGUAUCAUCAAACAAAGAAAAUCCACCACCUGCAGUUCGUUAUUUAAAUAACCACCACAUACAAAUUGGAACAUCAGAAUUUAAAUCUCCUUCUAUGUAUUAAGCAGCGCUACAUGGCUAAAAAUGUUCGCAUAAAAAUUACACUGACAGAAAUAGAAAAUGCAUCUUAGUACCAAUCGAUCAAGCUUCAAAAGUUAAUUCUAAAUGAAAACCCAACUUAAUACUGCGGUUAAGGAGAAAAAUAACCACCGAUAGAUGUCACAACUCUAAAAAGAGAUCUCCAAAACGGUGCAUAUUGGUAGGAUCUAUAUUAAACCAUAAGAAAUCCAAUAAAUACCAUCAGAUAUAACAGGGUUCCGAACUGAGUGACCUGCUAGAAGCGCCUCCGUCGCACCCACAUCUCCCAUCGGCAAGGAAGUUCCAAGUCGCAGACAGGCGGCAAGGAAGUGGCCCUCGGUGGCAAGCUUUCAUCAUGUGGCAGCAUAUUCAUCUUCUUCACAAUCUACUAACAACGAAAUAGCGGGGAACACACAUACUAGAAACAAAUACAACCCCGGACAUCGGGGUAACUUGGAAUAAAUACAAAUUUAACUAAUGAGUAAAAUGAUCCGAUAGUUCGAAAGAAUACACACGAAAGAUCUUAUCCGCCUCAUAAAUACAGUUCGAUUUGAGAAUUUAUUUAACAAGGCAAAAUAGAGCAUAGACUAAGACUUCAAAAGAUCUUCAAUUCAGCUUGGUCGGGGUUGUGGAGAUGGGGAAGGGUGAGGAUUGGGGGGUAAAACAUGAUUGAUUAUUCUGUUAAUGAGUAUAUAAUUGUACUACAACUUGAUAUAAAAUAUUAAUCAGGCGAGAUGUGCCAACUCAAAUGCAAGCAUCAAUUGUUAAAAUAUGUAAACUUUACUUUACCUUUGCAAAGACGGUAGGAUUGACAUGUAACUCCUCAUAUUGCAAAAACUUAGCAUGUCGCGAGUUCGUUCAGGUCAAAUGAUAUGACGAGAGAAGUGAAUCUGUCGGUUGAAGUUGCAGAAACGAACGGAGAGAAAGAGAGCAAGAGGGAAAACACACCAGUGAGAGAAGACCCCGGGCAAUCCCCGUGCGGUCUCCCCUCAAAACCAAAACAUACUA
RNAcentral lists this unclassified non-coding RNA (1641 nucleotides) under Hevea brasiliensis (rubber tree). Lineage: Eukaryota; Viridiplantae; Streptophyta; Magnoliopsida; Malpighiales; Euphorbiaceae. The record is from RNAcentral.